This 203-nucleotide long non-coding RNA is filed under the name Nicotiana benthamiana. RNAcentral's name for it is "long non-coding RNA (NBEN_LNC023362)". Lineage: Eukaryota; Viridiplantae; Streptophyta; Magnoliopsida; Solanales; Solanaceae. The record is from RNAcentral.
UAUUUCUCCAAGAACAAGAAAGUGAUAUUGGACUUGAGGAAGAUGAUCCAAUCAACUUCCGUCAAGUCAUUAAGGGUUCUAACUCUCAAAAGUGUGUUAGAAAUAACGCUCUACGCUAGAGGGGGGGUGAAUAGCGUAUAAAUAAAAUUUGGCGUUUUCUUGCGGAAUUUAAACUUUGCAGGAAAUAAACAAAUGCAGUAAAA